Molecule: ribosomal RNA, 480 nt
Filed under: uncultured bacterium
Lineage: Bacteria
Description: partial 16S ribosomal RNA
Rfam family: Bacterial small subunit ribosomal RNA
Source: RNAcentral
GAUGAACGCUGGCGGCAGGCCUAACACAUGCAAGUCGAGGGGGAGGGUACUUUCGGGUAACUGAGACCGGCGUACGGGUGCGUAACGCGUAUACAAUCUGCCUUUCACUGGGGGAUAGCCCGAAGCAAUUUGGAUUAAUACCCCAUAGUAUAGUACUACGGCAUCGUGAUGCUAUUAAAGCUUAGGUGGUGAAAGAUGAGUAUGCGUUCUAUUAGCUAGUUGGGGAGGUAACGGCUCCCCACGGCGAUGAUAGAUAGGGGUUCUGAGAGGGAUGUCCCCCACACUGUUACUGGGAUACGGACCAGACUCCUACGGGAGGCAGCAGUGAGGAAUAUUGGACAAUGGUCGGAAGCCUGAUCCAGCCAUGCCGCGUGCAGGAAGAAGGUCUGAUGGAUUGUAAACUGCUUUUGUAAGGGAAGAAUAAGGGCUACGCGUAGUUUGAUGACGGUACCUUACGAAUAAGCAUCGGCUAACUCCGUG